Molecule: ribosomal RNA, 522 nt
Filed under: uncultured bacterium
Lineage: Bacteria
Description: bacterial SSU rRNA
Rfam family: Bacterial small subunit ribosomal RNA
Source: RNAcentral
GUUUGAUCCUGGCUCAGAGCGAACGUUAGCGGCAGGCUUAACACAUGCAAGUCGAGCGACAAAGGGGCUUCGGCCCUGAGUAGAGCGGCGGACGGGUGCGUAACACGUGGAUAAUCUGCCUCGUGGCGGGGGAUAACAGUCCGAAAGGACUGCUAAUACCGCAUGUCAGGUCGGAAACCCCGGUUUCUGACGAAAAAGAGGGCGCCCCGCAAGGGGCUCUCACCACGAGAUGAGUCCGCGGCCCAUCAGCUAGUUGGCGGUGUAAUAGACCACCAAGGCUAAGACGGGUAGCUGGUCUGAGAGGAUGACCAGCCACACUGGGACUGAGACACGGCCCAGACUCCUACGGGAGGCAGCAGUGGGGAAUAUUGGACAAUGGGCGAAAGCCUGAUCCAGCCAUGCCGCGUGAGUGAUGAAGGUCUUCGGAUCGUAAAGCUCUGUGGAAGGGACGAAAAGCUAACCUAAUACGUUAGGUCUUGACGGUACUUCUUAGCAAGCACCGGCUAACUCCGUGCCAGCACG